Rhopilema esculentum is the source of this 886-nucleotide long non-coding RNA. RefSeq lists it as uncharacterized. Lineage: Eukaryota; Metazoa; Cnidaria; Scyphozoa; Rhizostomeae; Rhizostomatidae. The record is from RefSeq and is a predicted model, not a curated record.
UGUGCAUCUAGCAUUGUUUGGGUAAUUAUUUGGAAAGUUCUGUGACUGAAUUGUUCCACUUUUUGCAGUCAAAUAUGCAUCGCAAUCUGUGUCGAAAAAGAGGAAGCAAAAUCACAAGAGAUAGUAUUAACAAAUUAGGUCUCUGGUAUUGGAAACUUUCGCAAUAUGAGGACGUUCUCAAACUCGUCACAAGCCAAAUCGAAUAUCUACCACGACAAGAGAACACCUUCCUUAGAAGCAUCAUCAUGACUAAUUUAUUUCCGAAUCACUACAAAAUGUGUUUGUGGCACCACGAUGGAGUACGUGCAUUGCUUGUUUGAUAGAAAUGUCGAUGGAAAACCAGGAGAAGAAAAAUUGCCUUUCGUUGAGUCGAAUGCGAAGUCACAACCUGAAGAAUGAUUAAAAUUAUGUCACAAAGAUGAUUUAGGAAAUGUAUUUAAUCUUGUCCUUCGGUUUUUUUCUACUUGAGCACUAUCGAAUUCAAAUACACUAAAAAUAGCAUGCAAUUCAGCUCAAAUCAGAGACAAAGAUAUGGGUGACUGGUAGAAUACACUAUAGAAGCCAUCUCUCUAUUUCGGUCUAUCGGAAAAAUACAUAGAUUACUUCACUGGAAGGGAAUGUAAAAGAAUGAAAUAUCCAGAGCAGGACUUCAACUUUGCUGAACUUUUUUUACUAAAUCCUGUUCUUCUAUCGCACAAGUACUUACUUAUAUUACUGUCGUAUUUCGGAAUUUCAAAUAGCUUGCAAAACUGUCAUUAUCAAAAACUUCAUGAAAUGACUCGAAUGAUUCAUAAUCAUCUAUUGUCGAUAAGUAACACUUUUUAUCGUUCCACCCAUUCUUUUUAACUUUUAAGAAAUGUUGACACGCAAUAAUUUUCAUUGCCUU